This is a non-coding RNA of Xyrichtys novacula (pearly razorfish), 15594 nucleotides long. Lineage: Eukaryota; Metazoa; Chordata; Actinopteri; Labriformes; Labridae. The record is from the annotation of a GenBank genome assembly.
GGUUUGGGAUAAGCCUCUAAUGUUUUCCAUGGGCCACCCCUGCAAAAAAUAGUGCCCCCCCCCCCAUUUCAAAAGUUUAGCUAUGCCCCUGCUGCUCACAAGCUUCAGAUUUGUUUUUUAUGUGGUCAUUAAAAUAAUGACAUGUUGGUAAACCAGGUGGAAAUUCUGUGUUUGCCCCUUUUUCUCUUCACUCUCUCAGCCUUUUCUCUCUCUCUCUCUCUUUCUCUUUUUCUCUCUUUCACACACACACACACACACACACAGACACACACAGUCUCAGCAGUGUAAUAGUUUCCACAUGGUUUUUUGGUAUUUCAGAGCGCUCCGUCUGUCUGAUGAGAAAAAGACCAAAUUUAGAAGAAAUAUGAAAAUUGUCAAACUUUCUCUCUCUCUCUCCCUCUCCCUCUCUCUCUUUUCUUCCCUUUUCUUUUCCAGUCAUUCCCCUAUCCUUCUCCUUUAUCCCUUUUCUCUCCUCCUUUUUUCUCUCUUCACUUCCUCUUUCUCUCACUGUCUCCCCUCCUCCUCUUUUUGUUUAUCCUCUCUCUCUCCUCUCCCUCCAUCUUUUCUCAGACUCUACAGGUCAUCACUCCACUACUCUGACGUCAGCUAACAGUCCUCUCAAAGGGGCGUUCCCUGCUAAGGGCUCCGCCCCCCACUGACCAUACAAGGUAACAGAGGAAUGCAUGGCCUGGCAGCCCAUCAGCUUCAUAAGAGACACAGAGAGACAAGGAAAGAGGGAGACAGAGACAGAGGCAGGGGGAGAGAGUCUGAUGUGACAUCCAGGUCUUCAUAUUGAACUUCACUUUCAUGGAGUUCGUACAAACUUCAGACUUUCCUCAGCUCACAGUUCAGACAAAAUCCUAGACGUCUGGACAAGUUCAACUAUCAGAGACCCUGUCAGACCUGCAAAGACCCCAAUAGACCUGCAGAGACUCUGUCAGACCACUAAAGUCUGGGACUGGUUCAGGUUUAGGUGAGUCUGAUUUUGUGUUUUCAUGUUUUAGAAAUUUAAUUGUGUUUUCUUUAUUGUGUUCCUUCAGAGACUGUCUCUCUCCAUUUUUUAUUUUUAAUCUAAAUAUUUCUUCAACUGUUUUGAAUGUGAUGAUUCCAUGAAGAUAACGUUUGAUUUAAAAUAAUCUUUAAGUUUUUACCCUCAAGCUGGUGAACACAGACUGUUUGAAACACACUGGAGUGAACACACAUUAACAACUGAUAUAUAAUCAUGUGUCCACAAAAGGGCGCGCACACACACACACACACACACACACACACACACACACACACACACACACACACACACACACACACACACACACACACACACACACUUACUCAUGACCAGGGACCAGUAGAUCAAAAACAGGUAAAACCAGACAUCUCACCUCAUACAGGAGACCAGAAUUCAGGACCAGAAUUCAGGACAAGAACCAGACCGACAUAGAUCAGGACCACAGGGAUCAUGUUCCAGAACCUGCAGCAUCAUGGACCAGAACCAGAACCAUCAUAGGUUGGCUGAAGAACCUGCUGGGGGAGAGUCAGGCAGUGUGGAUGAAACAGAACAGGUAGAUAUCCACAUGUGCGUGCGCACACACACACACACACACACACACACACACACACACACACACACACACACACACACACUGAACUUGGCCAUAUUGCUAAAACUCUUGUACUGUUGGUAGAUUUAGCUGAAAUGUCCUCACAGUGAUGGUGAAAAAUUACCAUUAGUCAACAUGUAUGCACCCUGAUCUUUGUCUUUUAUUAGUUCCUGUUACUAGUUACUGUCAGUUCAUGUUCCUCUUGGUUCCUGAUGUUAUUUGCCAUUCAUUAAUUUUUUUUGUUUGUUUGUUUCUUCUUUAUUUGUUGGCUCCACUUGGUCCCUUUAGGUCUUUAGCAAAUUGCCUGUUAGGGCCUGUUGCAAUGAUGUUAUUUCCCAUUGGGUACUGUCAGUAAAUGUUGGGUCUCGUGUUUUAAAUGUUUUAAGUUUUUAGUUGGUUCCUGUUGUUUCUUGUUGGUCUUUUGUUAGUUCCUGGUGGUUACUGUCAGUUAAUGUUGUCCAUUUACUGAUUCCACUUGAUUUCAUGUGACUUUUCAUUGAAAUUGUUAAUUUAUUUUUGUUUGGAUUUUUUUUAUUGGUCAUCCCUUUUGGUCUUUUGUUAGUAACUGUUUCUGUUGGUGCUUGUUUAGUUCCUGUUGCUUACUGUUGGCCAGUGUUACUUUUUUGUUGGAUCCUCUUUGGUCUUUUUGGCAGGUAUUGAUAUCUAUUGAUCUAUUUUUCAUAUAUUUUGUUUUUAAGUUGAUUUCUGUUGGUUCCUUUCGGUCUGUGUUAGUUGUCAUUGGUUCCUUUUGGUCUUCUAUUUGUACCUGCUAGUUACUGUCACUUCAUGCUGUUUUUUCGACUGUUCCUCUUGGUUCCUAAAGAUACUUGCAUAGGUUCCUUUUGGUCAUUUGUCAGUAACUGUUGGUUCCUGUUGGUCUUUUUGAUGAUAACUCAGUAUAAGGUUUUUUUAUUGGCUCCUCUUGCAGUCAGUUCAUGUUGGGGUUUUCUGUGUAAGAUCCUUUUGGUUUCUGAUGGCAUAUAAUGAAUAUUGUUGGUUUAUAAUUUUCAUUUGCUGAGGUUUUUUGUUGGUAUUUUUCAUUUCCUGAUAGUUUCUGACAUUAAAAAGAUGUCUGAUAUUGUUUUCUUUUGGUUCCUGUUUGUUCUUUUUUAUCCUUUUGGUUUUUGGAUUUUUGUUUUAUCUUUUAUUUAUUCUCUUUUCCCUCUCUUGUCUUUAGUUGGAUCCUGUUGUUGAUUUUGCUUUGGUUAAAAUCAGUAAAUAUUGUAAUCCUUUUUUCUUAGUUCCCCUUGGUCCCUGUAAGUUGUUGUAUUUUUUGUUGGUGUUGAUUUCUGUUGGUGUCUGGCAGGUUCUUCUUUGUCCUGGUGGUUCCUGAAAGACCGAUGCAGUCUUUUAUUAGACUGCUUGAUGUUAUUAUUACUAUUAUUAUCAGUAUUAGUUUCUUCUGAUCCCUGAAUGUGUUUUGUGUAAUCCUGUUGGUCUUGUAGGUUCCUGGUAGUCUUUUGUAAGUGCCCUGUGAGUUAAUGUUUUUGUUAUUUUUUGGUUAGUUUCCAAUAGUUCUUGUCUGGUUUGUGCUUUUUGAUCAUUUCUGCCUUUAUUGGUUUCUGUUGCUUCAUGUGAAUUUUUUGUCCCCCUUGUUGGUUUUAGUGUUUUCUGUUGCCAGUUGUAGAUUUUUUUUGUCGGUUCUUGUCAGUUUGAUGUUAUUUUUUGUUGCUGUCUGUCUGUGUUGGUUUCUUGGAAUUUUCUUUUUUUCUUUUCGAGGUUAAUGAAGUGAUUCUUCAGAACAGGUGAGAUUGUUAUCUGUGUGGAGAAGGAAAUCAUGGUCAGAUGUUCUCUGAUAUAGACACCCCCAUCUCCAUCUUCAUACAUGAGAAACUAUUUGUGUUGUGUGUGUGUUGUGUAGGGGUGGCAGGAACAGGAAAUGCUGUAUUUGUUUUCUGAGCAGUAAGAAGUGUUCAGGGCAGCAGGUCAUCAGGACUUUCACAUGACCCCCAACACACUCUCACAAACACAGACCGGUCCUCCUUAGGGACUUCAGAGUACAGAUUCCCAGGCUCUGUUUCACAUGGGGGGAGGGGGGUCUCAUAUCCAGAUGAAGUCUGUUCACACACAGUUUUUAUUUGAAACAUGAAUCCAAACUGAUACCAGACAGCUGACAUUAAACCAUGACCAAUGUCUGAGAGGACCAAAACCUCACAAAGAGCUAAAGUCUGACUGUGUCUCAGACUACAUGGAUCGGGUCUUGUAGAUCUGAAAUUAUAGAUUAGGUUUAUAUGCCAUGUUUUUAAAUCAGGUUUUAAAAUUAGGUCCUGUAAAAUCAGGAUCUGUUAAUUACAGCCGAUUUUUAUUAAAUUAGGUCUGGUAUUAAGUUUUAGAUGCCAGGAUUUGUAAAUUAGGAAUUUUUAGUUUAGAUUUACGUUCCAUGUCUCAAGAUCAGGGUUCAUUUAUCAGGUUUUUCAUAUUAUCAUGUUUUCUUAUCAGGUUUUAGAUCAAGUAUGAUAGACAAGUUUCAAUAGAUUAGGUUUAAUUGAACAAGAGCUGGGUUUUUUUGGAUAAAGUUUUAAUGUUUACAUUUUAUAGAUCAGGUUUAUAUAUCAUAUUUAAAACCAGGUUUUGGGACCAGGUAGGGUAGACAAGGUCUUAUUAAAUUUGUAGGUUUUUUGGAUCAGGUUUGAAGAUCACAGUUGAAGUGCAGGACAAUAGAUCAGGUUUUGAAGGUUGGGUGUUAUAGAUCAGGUAUUGUUGAAUUGUUUUUAUCACAAGUUCAUUGUAUCAGGUUUACUAGAUCAGUAUUUUUAGAUGAGGUCUGUAUGUUUUGGUUUUGUGGUUCAGGGUUUGAAGAUCAGAUUUUAUUUAUAGUCUGUAAAUCUGGGUGUCAGAGAGAUGGGAUGUAGUUUUACAGGUAUGAGGGAUUCACUGGAGCUGCAGCUUCAUUCAGUGAGAUUUAUACCUUGACAAGAUAAUCAUAAACUCAUUCUCCAAACUUGCAGGGAGCAUUAAUAAAAUAGAGUUCCUGUAAUAUGAGAAGGAGGAGGAGUGAUGAAGGAGCUCACUCAGGAACGCUGAUGGUGAUGUUGGUGAUUAAGAUGGAAAUAAGGACCUAGUUCUAGCAGGUUCAGUCUCUUUAAACUGAAAGUGCAUUGACCUUUGACCCGCUCUCAUUCUCCUGAACCUUGUUAAUGUUGUGUGACUGUUCACAUGUUCACUCCUGCACUCAAAUAUCCUGAAUAUUUGUUUCCUUGUAUCCUUGAAUCCUCGUUUCCUAAGCUCCUGUUCCCGCUCCGUGUGACUCAAGGACCAGUGUGACCAUAUUUGGUGUCUGAUCUUAAUAAGUGAAGUUUAUGGAGAGUGAGUGUGUGUGUGUAUUAGUGUGUGUAUGUGUGUGUACUUCCUGUGUGUGAUUUGGGGAGCAGAGGGGAAAGAGAAAGACGACCAUAUAAGGAAAUGUUUGGCUCAACAGGAGAGAUGGCUCUGACUGUUAUCACAGCCUGUCUAAACACACACACAGAGUCACACACACACAGAGUCUCUCUCUCUCACACACACACACACACGGACUCACAGAUUUAUAGACUCUAACAGUAGACUGUUAAUCUAAAUGAAUGAAGUCAGGUAUAUUUCAGCUCUCAGUCAUUACAGACGCUGCUCGACUGUUUCCAGGCCAUCACAGACUGAUGACCCAGAACUCACUGAAUACUUCACCAACAAAAUCAGCCACAGUUCCUUUUUAACAACUCCCACUUCAUUUCCAACUAAUCUUAUCUACUAUCAGCAGGUCUUGUCUUGUGCUAAAAAUAGUUUUUGUCUCGCCUUUUAAACCUGAAAGAUGCAGAUUCUCCAGCCAUGAGCCUCAGAGCGGAGAAAAAUCCUCCAUGCUCCAUCACCUCUCAUCUGGACUACUGUACCUCACCUUCACACAAGAGGGUCAGUCAGUCCAUUAAUGUCUGCAGUAGGGGAAACCAGGGAGGGCUCUGCACAUGCUCAGUUUGACUCACUUCUGCAUGCUCAACAGGAGUAGGAUCACCUCCCCACAGCAGGAGUUUUAUGUUACUGGCUGUACAGUAAAUUGAAACUUACAUAAAUUCAAUCUAUAGGCUAUAAGUGAAGAAGAAAUUACGUGAUAUAUCCCUGCCAACAAUCUCACAUUUGAGAAUUUAUCAUACCUGCCAGGUCGAGGGCAAUUAUCACAGUUUUACAAAUGAAAUUAAUACCAUUAUUUAUUCUAAUUAGCUAUGAUUUCCAUUUUCUUUGCUGCUAUAUAUGACAUAAAAACAGAUCAGGCUGAUCCUUUCACCACAAAUAUACCCAGUAUUGCCUGCAUGGAAUCUUACCUACCGUGUUAUUCUGUCCACGUGUUUAUCUAGUUCCAUCACAGACUGUUCUUGACUCAUUUUUUGAUCAGUUUGUUGGAUUAAAAAACUAUUUCUAUUCAGUUUAAUUUAUCAAAACCUGGUAACCACUUAAGCAUUUACCUAGUUUUAUGCAAAAAUAGCUCUAUAUAUAGAUAAAAUAUACAAAUAUAUAUGUAUACUGGCCGCUCCAAGCCCCCACCCACCCAGAGACGGGGCUUCAAUCAGCUGUGUUUUGCUGUUUGCUGUGUUUCAUUUCUGUCUGUCUUCUUAAAAGUGCAGUGUGAAGAAACAAGUCAGGUUCUAGAUUAAAACUCUCCCUUACUCACUCACUCUUCCUGUCCACCCUUUCAUAUUUUCAGUGUUUUGUAUUAAUGCGGUUGUUCUUGUGUUUAUGAUAUUAAGUCUGAAAACAGAACAGUACAAGGUAGUGACUUAUUGUAAAACCCGCUCACUUUGUGAGAUCGGCAGCUUUUAAAGGAUGAACUUUGUGUGUUUUUUAGUCUUACUGUGAGGAUCAGUGUAUUAUCAGUCAGAUUGUCCAGAUCCAGUCCCUCAGAAGGACAGGUAAUCUGUAACAAUUUGUGUGUUGAUUUUAGAGUUAUUCGUGCUGAAUAGAGUCAUUUUUGUCGUUAGCUGACUUUGCCACACAGAGACUGAACCCUUGUUUUGGUCAGUCGGCCAAUCAGAGGCUGUAUCUGUGAUCAGCUGUCUUCUACAGGUCCAGGGAGAAGCCAGAUGUCACAGCCUGCUCACAAUACAGAGAUGGCAAAGAUAAAAACACUUCACUUUAUUCUAGUAAGAGAACAUUUGUGUUCUUUCUGUGUCCCAAUACUUUGGUGCCUCAUGUACACACAAGAUCAUAACAUUAGCUUACCUUGUUUCAUUCAGUGUGUCCAUUUUAUUAUUAUAUUAUUAUAAAAAUGCUUUCUAUAAAACAGGUUGGGUCAUUAAAUGGUCUUUCCAUACAAUCUUGUCUUUAGCACUGGUGCUCAAGUGAAUACUGUCCACUCUGUCGAAACAUGGCAGCUUACAUGUAUGGGGACAUGCUCCUCUGUGAAUGUAGAUGGUUGUACUGGCUGACCCUUUCAGGGAGAUUAAAAAUCCUCUGACAGUUAAAGGCAUCAUUAGAAGUUUUUAACUGACAAAUAGACUGAACUGGUGCCGUUUAUGACCUUCAAAAGCAAAAGACACCAUCUGCAACAGGACUGAUAUUUUCUCUGUUGACAUUUUUAAUGCCUGAAACCACUGUGAGGGGUAAAGAUUUAGACCAGAUUGUUGACAGCCGCCUGAAAAAACAGCCUUUUUUGAUUUUUGCUAUGACAAACACUCACAGGGACAGAAACAUUUGACACAUUUUAACACUGCUAAAAGAAAGCAGGCUGCAUUUUUUCUGUCUGAAAACACUACUUUCUCACAUACCAGGAGAAGAGAUAAGAUGUUUGUUUGAAAAAGAACAUUAGAGCCAACACAAAUCAAAAGUUCCUCACAGCGGCUUUAAUAUGACCUGGUGGCUUUUAAAGAUUAUUUUAGCUUUGAUUUUGAUAGGACAGCUCCAGAGAGAAAGACAAGAAGUGUGACAUUUACCAUCACAUGAAUCUUCCUCUAUCUUCUCUUUAAACCCAGUUCAGUCUCAGCAGAUGACUGUCUGACAUAAGUCUGGUUCUGUUUGAGGUUUCUACCUGUUGAGGAAAGGUCGAGUGUUUGUCUCAUGGUAAAGAUGGGAAAAACGUUUCUUAUCUCACGUGAUGAGACUCAAUCUUACUCUAUCUGGUUGAAACAUAGACAGUCUAGACCUGCUCCUUCUGUACAUUGUGGAUAACAUGUUGCUAAUUGGUGCUGUUUAAAUAGACUGAUUGAUUGAUUCAUUCAUUCAUUCAUUGACACAUGACUAGAUCAAACCAUCUGUCUCUAUCAGGAUAGCAAGACUCUGUAGUCAAAGACUUCAGAGCACACAGAGUGAAUUAGACAUAUACCUCUGAUAUUAUUGGCAAGUUUUGGGCUGUAGGUGCUCCUGUGAGGGGUAUCAGGAAGUCUGAUCCAGCAUAAGAGGUGUGAUUUGGCACAUUUGGGUUGACUUGUAAGUCUUAAUCCAUAAUAAGAUAUUCUGGGGUGAAUAAAUAUAUAAAAUUCAUUCAAAUUAGGCGAAAGCAGUCUAUGAAUAUAUGUAAGACUCUGAGGUGAGUGACUUAAAAGCACAAAUUCUGCUGAUCUCUAUAAGUAUCAGUGAGUGAUUUUAGUCUACUAUCUUCUCUCUCUUUUUCUCAGUUAGAUAUCUUACAACUUAUCUUUUAUUUUGCUGCUCAUGUUGCUCAAAUGUCGCAUCUUUUUUUGCUGUUGAUGUCAUUAUUGUUCCGUUUUUAACUCAUUAAAACACUUCAAAUCACUUGGUAUAAUUGGAUAGAGCUCUGAUGAGUCCAGAAAUCAAAUGUACUACCACAGUAAAGAGGACAUGAACCUCAGGGCGUGCACGCUGAGCUAAACCAACAUCCACACUUAUCCCAGAUUUAAAGGAACAUUUCAACAAUUUAAAUCUAACUAAACACUUCAAUCCACACUCACACACGUGCACGCACACAUGCACACUCACACAGAGGCUGGGAGAGGUCAAGCCUGUUUGUUAGUGUACUUCCUGAUGUCAAGGAGAGUUACUAUUUGAGUGUGUGUGUAUGAGUAUGUGUAUGGUGGGGUAUAAGUGGGGGUGUAUUUCCUUAAUAAGGAGUUGUGUGUUGAGUCUCUGCUGAGGAGGAUGAUGAUGAUGAAGGUCUGCUCUCCUUUUAAAGCCUCAGUCCGUUCUGUGACUAUUAAAGGGAAUGUAUGCAGUGCAAGGGGGGGCUGGGGGGGCUGUCAGCCUAUCAGAGGCAGCGAUCUCAGACUGAAUGUUUAUCCCCAGAGCUCGUUUUUCCAUCAGCCCUCGAACACAUCAGACCUUAUAUGGACACAUUCCUCUCUCACUGGCAGACAGGCUCGCUCUACCACCUCUGUCUCCCUCUCUCCUUCAUCCUCCUGUAUGAACGUGUGUAAUAAGGUGUGUUUGUGUGUGAAGAUGUGGGUAAUAGGGUGUGUGUUCUUUAUUUCCUAUUAAAGAUCAGCUGAGGAUGGGAGUCAGACAGGGUGCAUUAUGGGUAAAACAGAGGGGCUGCAUCCUGUGAAGGACCCGGUCUUUGCAGGCUGUGCGGACAGUUCAGGCCAAACUGAGUCGAGACCAUUUGGUCUGAUCUGCAUCACCAGCCGUCCCCACCCUUAAACUAGAGUCCCACGGCACCACCCCUGUUUACCAGCUAUGGGGAGUUAGCUGACUUCCUAACAUAGCUGGUGUCACGGCACUUAAAGAAGUAACUUUAAGUUUUAAAGCGUCUGUCUCUUUUAACAUCUAGUUCUAACUGUAUAUGUUCGGCAGAGAAGGAUGCAGCUGAUACAUCCUCUGCAGCAAAGUGAGACACAUUUGUCAGCUGCAUUUGGACAAGCAUGAGAAUCUUUACAGUGCUGCAUUCAGUCUUCGAGUGUGGCCUACAGUGGAUGGAGCAAGAGCACCUGGCUGCAGACACAGGGGAGCUCUGUUAGUGCAGGCCCAGUUUGACCUGAGUAUGCACAUGUGUAGUUGGAUCUCUGCUGUCAUCAGGAAAUGAGGUGAUCUUCAGGGUUGUCUUCAUUGUGUCUCUUUCAUACUUUAGAUGGUCCAAAGACUUUUGAAGUUUGAUAGUGUAACUUGCAAAGUCGAGAAUCGAGUAGCUCCGUAAGUGAUGCUUAGUUUGAGGUUUACCUACCAAUCAUGAACAAUAACGGAUGAUUAAAACUGAUCUGUUUAAUGUUCUCUUGAUCAAAAUAUCAACCAUAAACAAAAAUAUAAACAAAAAACAGAUAAUGCAACAAUUAUGAACUUGCAGUUUGAAUAUCAAACUAUGUCAAGAGUCUAUUUACACUUUAUGGUUAUAAGGGACACAAUGAAAGUGUGUCAUGUCCUCUAAAAACUGAGAUCCAAACAGAGGUCAAACUUCAGACCGAACACUCACUAACAGAGCUCCACUGUGUCUGCAGCAGCUUCUUCAUGGAUGAAACCUGCCAACACAGACAGAUUAUUUGGGGUCAUAUGAUCAUAUUUCCUUUGUGUCUUCAGUUUGAUCUAGGAAACCUCACCUGAGCUAAGGAGGCAGGCUUCACCUGAGGGGUGUGGCUUAGUACACACUCAGGAGACAGAGCUUCACCGAGGCUGAAAAGGCGGGUGCUUUUCCUGAGCUGAGGAGGCGGGGCUUCACUUGAGUGCAGGUAUGUUCACAUCAAACAUGGUAUGAUGCUGACUGUGAACUGAUUGGUUCAUGAAUUAAACUGAUUAAUUCACUCAACUCUUCACUCUUUUUGUGACUGUCUCUCUUGAAACCUGGCUGCAUCACCAUGGUAACUGGCACCACACUCCUCACCUGAACUAGGUUUCUGUUCAGAGUUUCAGCUUUAAAUCAUCCAUUUACUGUGUUCAUUUAUUACCUGAUGAUGUUCUGUUUUAUUCGUUAACACCCUCAGCUAAAAAAAUAAAGACUAGACAAGCAUUUCAAACUGUAAUGUUACUUUAAUAAUCCUCAAUUACUGUCCUCAUUAGUCCUUUGAGGAGUAAAAGCAUGAUCACAGGGUCCUUGGAUGGUGGAUUAUAAUUUUAAAUUCAGCCAGGAUUGGCCAGUGCAUCCUGAAAUCUUCAACCAUGAUUGGUUAUCUGUCUUACCUUUGAUUGAAACCAGCAAUCUGAGUUGUGGUUAACAGGCUGUUGGUAGUAGUCUUUCGAAAGUUCACACCAAGAAUGAGUAAGCUUAAAGUUCAGUUUAUGCAAACACAUAAAAAAGAACUAAGUUCAUGGUCCCAAAACUUGAAACUUUGAGACAUGUGUAGCUAUGAUUUCUGACUGAAUAUAUGACAAUGUGUUUUGGGAUGGUUUUCACGUCCUCUAAAAAUAUUAAAGCUAGAGGUAAAGAAACACUAAACAAACACAAAGAUUGCAUUAUUCUCCAAUAUCAACAAAGCCAAACCUCUCUGAAACCAUUUACAUUUUUAGUUUGUUAGAAUUAGUCCUGAUGGGUCCAUGAAACUACUUUAAAUUUCCAAAAGAAUUUGCUUUAUCAGGAUCUGAAUUGUUUAAAGCAGCAGGUGCCAUCAAGCCAACUUUGGCUGGUUGAUGAGCAGCAAACUGAGCAGCUCAGUUUACCUAAAUGUAAGUGUGUAGUAUGUUCAUGCACAACACUGGUGUGUAGCUUUUUUGUGUUUCUAUGCAGCAUUUUUGUUAAAACUUUUCAGUGUGACUUUGAGGAAACAAGAGAGUAAUUUCUUUUGAUUAUUUUCUAUAUGAAGUUUAAGUAGAUGUGGUUGGUGGAGAUACUGUCCUUGGUUUGAGUUUAACUCCUUCUGCUUACCAGCCUGGGCACCCUUACCAAAGUCAGGGUUCCAGUUUGUGCCCCUCAGUCUAAAAAGUCUGGACCCACCAUUUUUUAAGCCUGGAAAAAAUAUCUUUUAAAAUCCAGAUAUAAUCUGGUGGUUUAACAGUGAAAACAUAGUCAAAGUGAUUGGUCUAUUGGUAUUUGUCAAAUAAAAUCAUUAAAGACUUUUCAAAAGUGAUUUUCUGUGUGUAAACAGGAGGUCCUGAAAGUGUCACACAUUGAAAUCAAUAAAUAAAUCAAAUGAUCAAAAACUAUUCAGCCAAUAAGUUUGUGAUGGAGAUGUGUCACAUCACAUGAUAGACAUGCCUUUUUCUGUGAGCAUGCUCAGUGAAGCAGGCAGCCUGAGUAAACAUAGACAGAUGACAACCAGCUUCAUUUUACCUGAGAUCUACCUGCAGCUUCAGGGUUUAAUCCAGAUUAUCAGAGACCGAGGUGAUGAUGAUCUGACCUCAUGGUUCAGACAUGACUCUCCACGCUCUCAUCAUGUUUCCCCCUGAAGGAGACACUGAUUGUGUUUGUUAUUUUCACAGUUUGAUCAGCUGAUCAUCAGCCUGGUGAUGAAGACUCUGUCAGCAGCUAUUCAUCAUGUGACGUCACACAGGUGUGUAUCAGUCUGGUCUCUGUAGCCUCCCUCUCUGUAGCCCUCGGUGCAGUGCUGCAUCUCUGGUCAGUUGGUAGUCUGAGAUGAAGCACUGUAGCUCGGGACACAGGACUACACCUCCAUAGCAUCUGCAGGUCUAGAAGUCUAAAGGUAAGCAGGUCUACAGAGGAGCAGGUCUGCCGGUAAACAGGUCUACAGGUAAGCGGUGCGUAAGUUAAACAGGUCUACAGGUGGGCAUGUGUGUGUACUAGAGGCCCAGAAGUUUUUUCAUACUUUAUUUGCAAGACUUCUGAAAAAAAAAAAAAACUAAUUAUUUUGUUAUUUUGUUUUAAAGCUCCAGUAAGUAACAUUUGGUUUGGUUCAAUUUUGAUGUUCCCCGUGAAUGACGCUGUCUUUGCUUAUCUUGUCCGUUAAGGUUCUUCAGUAUAAUUUGACAAAAAAAUCUCAUCCUGCUGACUUUUGACAAACACAUCAUUUAUGAUUAUAAUAUAAAUAUAAUAAUGAGGACAACAAUGAUAAUGGCACUGACAAUGAUUGUCACAAGGGCGAUGAUGAUGGUGAUGAAGAUAAUGAUGAAGAUGGCUCCUCCUCUCUCCUAGGGUCCAGUUUUCCCAGGAAUCCCUUGACCAAAUAGAAACGGGGAUUCCUGGAAAUACUGUUCUUGGGGGCGGGGCUUUUCAGCAUUUCACUGAAACUCUGAGUUUACAUCAUGUUGGUUAAUCUGUGUGAGUUUUUGUGUGCGUGUUUGGGGGGUCCUCUAGAGGCUGUCUCAGAAUAGAGUCGAUCCUGUAUUCCUGUAUGCUGUAGAAUUAUUGAUAUCUGAUGUAGUUUUGUCAUAUUAUCUUUGUCCCUAUCAUUCAUAACUAGUAACCUUAGUAUCUCUUAUCAAUAAAACAAAAAAAUCCUACAGAAUGAUCAAGGCCAAACUGUUUAUGCACCAGGUUGUAAAAAUGUUUUCCUGCUCCGAAGAGAUGCUUUUUAGAGUGGGUGUGUACCUGGCUUCCAAUGCUUUUGCAGUCAGCCCCUGGUGGACACUUGAGGAACUGCAAUCUUCAGCACUUCAGUAGUGGCCUCUGAUUUCAGACCGGAGGUUGCUGCUAAGUCAAUCCCCAUCACUCUCUAUGUAAAAAUGUCAGACUUCACAACAAAAAAUAAACAUGUUUGCAGCCUGGUACAGUAGUAGUUUGGGUCUCUGCCGUUUAUUUCUUUAUUCAUGUGAAGAGUACAGUCUGAAUUUAAAGAAAAUCCACCCCCAACUUCACCUCUAAGCCUGUUUCCAGAUCAGCAGGAAGUUAUUUGGAGUUUCAUUAUGGCGAACUCUUCAGAAACAAACCAGUGGCGGCACUGAGACUACGAACAGGUUUAUAUGGUCUGUGGUAACUACUCUGUAACUGUGUAGUAAUGUUGUGUACUGUUUAUUUUUGUGUACAAUGUUUAUGUGUUUGUGCUAUGACAUGUUGCACCCCCUCCUCUCUCCUCAGGUGUGUAAGAAAAUCAAUGAUAAGGAUUCAAUAAACACAAAAAACAAUAAAUGACUGCUCAUGUUGUGAAUAUCUGAACACUGAAGAUAAAAACAAAUUCAUGAAAUAUAAUUAUUCCAUGCUAAUAUUGAUGAAAAAGUCCUGAGUCAGAGUUUCAUUAACAUUAACUGUGCAAAGGAAGUGACGACGAUCAUAAGAGUGUUUGAUUCUGCAGAAAUACUCUAAUGUUUGACCACUAGGAGGAGCUGUUUCUCACAUGCACUCACGCUUUUACACAGUCCAUAUCAUAGACGUUAUGUAUGUAUGUGAACUAUGGACAACUUGGUUCCGCCUACCGCCUGUAUACGGAUUUGAAGCCAAAAAGCUCUCUGUAUUUCCGGGAUUUUUCUUCAUUUCCUGAAACCAGCGCUGCGCAGUAGCGAUGCGCGCAGUUGGCCGCGCAGUCGCUGAGAGUCGCUGUGUUGACGCUCGUCUCAAACAGCGUAUCCCUCGGGUGAGCUACACAAUCCCUGAACGCCAAUAGGCUGUAUCAGGUGUCAAUCAUAGAAAACAUGAACCCCCCUAAUAACUUUUCAAAACAGAGCUUCACAGAAAAAAAGAGGACUUGAGCACAAACCAGUCUGACAAUAACUACAUGUCAACAUCACAAUCAGGGGGGAGAAAAAUUUAUAUUCUGUGUAAUAAAUUUCUAAAGUUUGUCCACAGCCCCGUAUGCUUUGCUGGCGGAGGCGGGAUUGAUGACAUAUACUGCAGCCCGUCAACAGAGGGUGCUGUUCUCUGAGUGGCUUCACCCAGCGAGGAGGCAGACUCUGUCCAUUCUAUAUAUGUCUAUGGUCCAUAUAAAAUGUCAUAUAAAUCAAUAAUUGCACAGAGCAGACUAAGACUGACUCUGAUUGGCUGGUAAGGUUGCCACUCAUCACUGAGACCUCUUGAAUGACAGCAUGUGACAGCACUAGCAUACUGUUAAUCUUAACACUGAACCAUCAAACUGCAGCUUCAUUAUACCCCAGUUCUUUUAAUAUCUGUAUAAAAUGGAAAUAGCCCAUAAGCAACACAAUGUUGGAAUGUUCAUAGGUUUAUGUCCUGAAUAAAUUAAGUAUUAUGAUUCUGAAAAUAAGCAUCAUGCUUCAGUUUGGACAUUUGCUGUAGUACUUGCACAAAUUUUAAUUAAAAUAGGGAGUGAAUAAAAAUCACAAAACCAGUUUUUUUUAUCAUUUAGCUCUGCCACUUACACAACUAUCAAGAACUUCAAGUCUUUGCAGUGACUUAUUGUACCAAAAGCUAUCAGUGUAAAGCAGUUAGUUUGUAACUUAAGUUGUCAUUGUUUGGUGCACCAUUGAGUGUUCAUCUUUACUAGAAGAGCGUAACAUAGGAACAAACCAAGAUGGUUGUUGUUUUCCCUCUAUUUGGCCAGUCAGUAAAAAGCUCUUUUCUUGAGGUGUUUGAGUACAGCCUGUCAUGAUCAAGUGGUAGCUUUUUGAGGAUAGGUGUAAACUGCCAAAACUAAUGCUAUCAUCUAAUAGCAGUUACCUUCCUUCUGCACAUAUAUGCUGUUAAAAUUCCAGGGCAAAGUCUGUUGAUCACAGGACAUUUCAGACAGUUUGGAUAAAUGCGUAUCAUGGACUGUUCAUGGACAAGAAUUUAUGACCAUGAAGCCAAAAGGUCUAGAGCUCCCCCUGCUGACUGUCCAAUGUACAGACCAUUAGCCCCUCCUCUUCAAUGUUAACUACUUAGGCAGAGGCUAAACUAUAAAAAAAUAAAACAAAAUAGAGGCAUCAAGUUGGCUGAGUUAGUUCUUAUUGUGCUGAUUUACAUCCAAGUGUGAAUUUUAGUUUUAAGUAUUUCCUUCAAAAAAUUAUGGCGGUGGUAUAACUGACAGCUCUGUUGUCCAAUAAGGCUCCUGCUAUUUUCCCUGUAUUGUCAAAGAAAGGGCGAACCGUGAGAAGAAACGUAACACUGACGCAAGCCCACAAAAGAACCUAUGCUGCUGUGGACUCGGAUCACCUGAGGGAGCUUUGACGAUUCAUCUGUGGGUUUAAUGUGUUUUUUAGUUUAAUUUUCAAAGGUGUAUCAGCUACACCACCGCACAUGCAUGGACAGUCUUUGGACAAGGCUCACAAUAGGUGAACAUUGUCUGUCAUUUACAGUCAGAGGUUUAGACAUGUACGACACGUUGAUUCCCAA